This 216-nucleotide ribosomal RNA is filed under the name Glomeromycotina sp. RNAcentral describes it as "partial small subunit ribosomal RNA". The stretch from base 40 to 216 matches the Rfam family "Eukaryotic small subunit ribosomal RNA", at positions 686 to 864 of the family's 1831-position model. Lineage: Eukaryota; Fungi; Glomeromycota. The record is from RNAcentral.
CGGUCAGAAGGUUGGUCGUGCCACCGGUACGUACUGGUCUCACUGAUUCCUCCUUCCUGAAGAACCGUAAUGCCAUUAAUUUGGUGUUGCGGGGAAACAGGACUGUUACUUUGAAAAAAUUAGAGUGUUUAAAGCAAGCUAACGCUUGAAUACAUUAGCAUGGAAUAAUGAAAUAGGACGAUCGAUCCUAUUUUGUUGGUUUCUAGGAUUGACGUA